UCUGCGGAAAUGGUUGCCAGAAACAGUAAGGUUAUAUCGCCUUUCACAUUCCAUUAAAACAUCCAACUACAUUAUAGAUAGAACCGCCAAAGUCUCCUAUACACCCUGCUAGAAUAGCCACCAAUUCCACCAAGGGCACUCUCACAUCAUACACCUCCAGGUUUGGCAAAUGCCCAGAAACCUUCAACAAGAUCAUUUAAGUUAAAACACAUGCCACUACGGGGGGAACAUUGGGACACAAGAUAGCGUAAUGAUAGUGUGAACAUAAUCCCAAGCACAUCAAAGAUGCUAGGUGACGUUCUAAAUAUCAUCAUAACACAGGAACAAGCCCACCCGUACUAAUUGGCUACUUAUACACUGAUGAAAAUUAAACUUGUCAACCAUGAAUCAAAA
This is a long non-coding RNA of Papaver somniferum (opium poppy), 393 nucleotides long. RefSeq lists it as uncharacterized. The record is from RefSeq and is a predicted model, not a curated record. Lineage: Eukaryota; Viridiplantae; Streptophyta; Magnoliopsida; Ranunculales; Papaveraceae. The transcript has 2 exons.